CCUACGGGGGUCAGCAGUAGGGAAUCUUCCACAAUGGGCGAAAGCCUGAUGGAGCAACGCCGCGUGGGUGAAGAAGGUUUUCGGAUCGUAAAACCCUGUUGUUAGAGAAGAAAGUGCGUGAGAGUAACUGUUCACGUUUCGACGGUAUCUAACCAGAAAGCCACGGCUAACUACGUGCCAGCAGCCGCGGUAAUACGUAGGUGGCAAGCGUUAUCCGGAUUUAUUGGGCGUAAAGGGAACGCAGGCGGUCUUUUAAGUCUGAUGUGAAAGCCUUCGGCUUAACCGGAGUAGUGCAUUGGAAACUGGGAGACGUGAGUGCAGAAGAGGAGAGUGGAACUCCAUGUGUAGCGGUGAAAUGCGUAGAUAUAUGGAAGAACACCAGUGGCGAAAGCGGCUCUCUGGUCUGUAACUGACGCUGAGGUUCGAAAGCGUGGGUAGCAAACAGGAUUAGAUACCCCUGUAGUC
This 465-nucleotide ribosomal RNA is filed under the name uncultured bacterium. RNAcentral's name for it is "partial 16S ribosomal RNA". It matches the Rfam family "Bacterial small subunit ribosomal RNA", at positions 338 to 795 of the family's 1533-position model. The record is from RNAcentral.